UUUAUACUCCCUCCGUCCCAAAAUUCAUGUCUUACAUUUGUCUAGUUAUGAAUGUAUCUAGUCACAUUUUAGUAUCUAGAUACAUCCAUUUCUAGACAAACCUAAGACAAGAAUUUUAGGACGUAGGGAGUAUAAG
Molecule: microRNA precursor, 136 nt
Filed under: Hordeum vulgare
Lineage: Eukaryota; Viridiplantae; Streptophyta; Magnoliopsida; Poales; Poaceae
Description: microRNA MIR1122
Rfam family: MIR1120/MIR1122 microRNA precursor family
Source: RNAcentral